AUAAUAAUUAGGUUUUUAAUUGGAACCUUGUAUGAAAGGUUAAACAAAAGAAUUUCUGUCUUUUUUUUAAAAAUUGAAUUUAACUUUUAAGUGAAAAGGCUUAAAUUUUUUAAGGGGACGAUAAGACCCUAUAAAGUUUUAUAAUGAAAUAAAUCUUUAAAAAAAUAAAAUUAUAAAUUUAAGAUUUAUUUUUUUAUUUUGUUGGGGCGACACGGAUAUAAAUUUAAUUAACUGUCAGAAAAAAAAACAUAUAUUUAUGAAAAGUAAAAUGGUCCUAAAUAUAGAUUAUAAGAUAAAGUUACUUUAGGGAUAACAGCGUAAUUUUUUUCAAGAGUUCUUAUCGAAAAAAAAGUUUGCGACCUCGAUGUUGAAUUAAAAUGUCUUUACAGUGUAGCCGUUGUAUAAAGAAGGUCUGUUCGACCUUUAAAAUUUUACAU
Molecule: ribosomal RNA, 437 nt
Filed under: Pisa tetraodon
Lineage: Eukaryota; Metazoa; Arthropoda; Malacostraca; Decapoda; Epialtidae
Description: partial large subunit ribosomal RNA
Rfam family: Bacterial large subunit ribosomal RNA (bases 309-437)
Source: RNAcentral